Molecule: unclassified non-coding RNA, 238 nt
Filed under: soil metagenome
Description: partial internal transcribed spacer 1
Source: RNAcentral
GAGAAUAUGAGAGAGUGGGGGGUCAAACCUGCUCUUUUGUUUCUUGUGAACUAGUUGUUGGUCUGUUAUUUUUGAGUUGGGGAGGGGGGAAGAUCAAGGAGUAUGACUAGCUGUUGGGUUACUGUUUGUCAUGGCUAGUGCUGCAACUUUAUGGACCUCUUCUUUCCUUGGCUUGAGAGUAACAUGCUAGCAAUUUUUACUGUUUGUCAUUUUUUUUUUUUACUGUUGUUAAAUAAGA